GUAAUUACUGAUGCUAUCGCUUUUAUACUAAAAAGAGGAAAGUCCGGACACCAUAGAGCAGCAUAGCGGAUAACAUCCGUCUGCCGUAAGGUAAGGAACAGUGCAACAGAAAGAAAGUACAGUUUGGCUGUAGUGAAAUCAGGUAAACUCUAUGCGGUGCAAUACCAUGUAUAUCAAGAUUUAAAAACUGCUCGUUUUUACUUGAGGGGUAGGUAGCUUGAGAUAAAAGGUAACUUUUAUUCUAGAUAAAUGAUAGCACUCUUUUGAGAACAGAAUCCGGCUUAUGUGUAGUUACUGAC
Molecule: RNase P RNA, 299 nt
Filed under: Flavobacteriales bacterium
Lineage: Bacteria; Pseudomonadati; Bacteroidota; Flavobacteriia; Flavobacteriales
Description: RNase P RNA component class A
Rfam family: Bacterial RNase P class A
About the family: Ribonuclease P (RNase P) is a ubiquitous endoribonuclease, found in archaea, bacteria and eukarya as well as chloroplasts and mitochondria. Its best characterised activity is the generation of mature 5'-ends of tRNAs by cleaving the 5'-leader elements of precursor-tRNAs.
Source: RNAcentral